RNAcentral lists this ribosomal RNA (470 nucleotides) under uncultured Methylophaga sp. Its description in RNAcentral is "bacterial SSU rRNA". It matches the Rfam family "Bacterial small subunit ribosomal RNA", at positions 336 to 801 of the family's 1533-position model. The record is from RNAcentral. Lineage: Bacteria; Pseudomonadati; Pseudomonadota; Gammaproteobacteria; Thiotrichales; Piscirickettsiaceae.
UUCCUACGGGAGGCAGCAGUGGGGAAUAUUGGACAAUGGGGGCAACCCUGAUCCAGCAAUGCCGCGUGUGUGAAGAAGGCCUUCGGGUUGUAAAGCACUUUCAGAUGUGAGGAAAGGUAGUUGGUUAAUACCCAAUUGCUGUGACGUUAACAUCAGAAGAAGCACCGGCUAACUCCGUGCCAGCAGCCGCGGUAAUACGGAGGGUGCAAGCGUUAAUCGGAAUUACUGGGCGUAAAGCGCGCGUAGGCGGGUAUUGAAGUCAGAGGUGAAAGCCCCGGGCUUAACCUGGGAAUGGCAUUUGAUACUGGAUGGCUAGAGUGUGGUAGAGGUGAGUGGAAUUUCAGGUGUAGCGGUGAAAUGCGUAGAGAUCUGAAGGAACAUCAGUGGCGAAGGCGACUCACUGGGCCAUUACUGACGCUGAGGUGCGAAAGCGUGGGUAGCAAACAGGAUUAGAUACCCCGGUAGUCGCU